Aedes albopictus (Asian tiger mosquito) is the source of this 2972-nucleotide long non-coding RNA. RefSeq lists it as uncharacterized. NCBI's taxonomy places the organism in Eukaryota, Metazoa, Arthropoda, Insecta, Diptera, Culicidae. The record is from RefSeq and is a predicted model, not a curated record. The transcript has 3 exons.
CUGAAGCAGGCCUGGUAGCGAGUCACUUUUUAGUGAUUUGGUCACUAUUUUCGAGUCGGUCACUAAAAAGUCACUAUUUGCAUGAAAAAGUCACUAAAGUCACUUUUUUCAGUAAAUUGGUCACUAAAGUCACUAUUUUCGUGAAUCUGACUACAUUGAAAAACAUUUAUUGCCAAUAUUGAUGAACAAAUUUUGCUCAGAAACCUUAUCCUUAAAAAAAAUUUCGGCUGCGCCGCUUAUUACAUUAUUAUUAUCACGGAGAGAAAUCACACUAGUUUGAUACAACCAAAAUUUUGGUUGACAUUCAAAGUCUGAAUUUGGUUGUUCAGAGGUAAACAAUUAUUUGUUUCUAUGUCGAGGUUUCGAUCGGAACAAAUUAUUUUUUCAAGUACUUUUUACCCACAUCAUUUGGUUCUUCCAAAGUAAUACAUACUUAGAUACAAACCAUGAUUACAAUUUAAAUCAAUCGUUGCCUUGUUUAUUUUUACCAAAUAUUAGGUUGAUGAAAAUAAUUCAUGACUGAGAAAUACAAAGUAGAGCUUAGAUUGGAUGGAUCUAAUAAAAGCAAUAAAAAUAAACUAAAAAUUUGGUUGGACGAAUUCCAAUCUAAAAUCAAAUUCGAAGCAAACUAUAAUAUUAGUUUGUCCACACCACCAUUAGCUGCGUCGCGUCAGCCGCACUCUUUGCCAUUUCAUUGUUGUCAUUGUGUCUACGUAAUUUCGAUUGGCGGCGAGCUGGUCGAGUGUGGGCGGCUAUUUCAGGAUUACUAAACGGCCUCAGACUCAUCAUCAGCGUACAGAUUGGUGUGCGUUGCGACAAGGAAGACGCAAGCAACCCAUGACCGAAAAAAAAUCAUGGCUUCGGGCAGCAGUAGGCCAAUGUUCCGACCGGCUUACUUCGUUACUAUUAGGGAAAUCCGAGGGUUCCAUCGGGUGAAGGCUAUGAUCCUCCCUGACGAAUGUUUCCGAAGUGGAAGUGAAAAUGCAAGGUGAAAUAUGAACCAAAUGGGAUGAAUAAUACUUUAUAUUCUCCUGAAAAUAAAGAAAAAGUUGGCUCAAAUUCAUUGUUUUAUUUUUACAUUAUUUCCAAAAACACGGAUAAGAUGGAGGGGGGGGGGGCUAAGGAAGUGUAAACAAAGUAAUGUCAACAAUGUUUUUGUUCAAUUUGAGGUGCAGUGUUUGCUUGUUUCAAUUUGAUUCUUGGUAGGUUGAAAGUAAAUAAUUUGGCUGAAACAACAAAUGUUCUAGUUUGUUUCGGGAGCUGUCAAAAUAUAACUACCAAUGUAAUGGUAAAUUUGAACAAAAUUUAGUUGAAUUAAGGUAUUGAACCCUCAAAACAGUUACCUAAUAAUAUAGUUUGCUUUGACCAACGUCGUUAGUUGAAGGGAGCAAGAUUUUGUUUGUGCAAAUAUCAACCUUGAAAUUUGGUUGAAUCUUGCUAAAUUUUAGUUGCAUUUACCAAAUAUUUUUCUCCGUGAGGCUCCGCGGCGCCGCUCAAGAAUGAUCAGUCUUCUAUACACACUCGAGCUAUCCACACGCGGUUACCACAAGUGGCGACGAGGAUAAAAAAAAAGCGCGCGGCUAAUCAAGCAAUGAAAUGAAUCAAAUAAAAUGUUUUGUGAAUUCAUAAUACACAUAAUAAGUGGUUUUGUUCUCGCGGUUGCAAUAGGGGAAAAUUGAAAAAGUGGAAGACGAUGAGUGGGUGACGCCAAUCUUGUCGCAACAUGUCGGUGAGCAGUGAAAGUGGAAUGUGAAAGAAAAGAUAAAUUUUGUCUAUUCUGCAGCGAUUGGGGUGUGGGGUACAAGUGAUUAAAUUAAAUGAUUGGCAUCUCGUGUUGUUUUCUCAUGUUUGCCGGUGCCGUUGAGGUAUUGUGCCUUGCAAGAUAAAUCCGCGAAACGCGUUUGUCUUCCCGCAUAGAGAAAUACAACUUGUCAUACAUUCCAAACAGUAAGUUUCUUUUAACUGAUGAUGUGACAUUACCGCAGACAUUUGUUUUCAUGUUGAACAAUAUGGAAUUUAGUGCUAUACACAAUAAAAAACGUUUUCAACAGUUCAUAUCAAUCAGUAACAGUAUGUUAAAGUGUUCACACACUGUCAAACGAUAUGGAUACAAAACUUGAGUUGAAUGGUGGCAAUAUAGGAUCACCUCAUGCCAAACAGUUCACGCUCCCACAACACACAACACACUAACUCAUACGCAUUUCACUGUAUAAAACUAACGCUUAACAAUUCGUCAGAUGGUGGCGCACAUUAGUAUUUGUAACCGAUAUUUUUGUGCGCUCCUGCUGCGUUGUCUGUCAGAGUAUGCAAAAUAAAAAAAUAAAAUAAAUCGGUUUCGCAAGUUUGUACUGGUUUUGUUCGUCAUACUUGCCUGUUUUUUUUCAUUAUUAUGUGAUUGAGCCUGUUUAAUUGUUCGGUAUCUUCAAAACAAUUAUUAUCCGGAGUGGAUACUAUCGACUGAGAUCAGCGCAUACAACGCCCGAGGAGAAUGCGGAAUUGAAUCCGCAGCGGCUAGCUGACUGCAUCCACAAGCAACAACAUAUAGUUCUUUUUGUAUUCCAUGCAUUCGAAUGGUCCAUCCGGAAGAAUCGCAGUUGCAGGAUAAGUUAAUCUGGAGAUCAUCAUGGAAGCCGCGAAGCCGCCGGAUUUAAACCGACCCCUUUCAAGGUUAGACUUCCUUUCGGCGAGAGAUUGGCUUCGAAAGUGUAAAGAUGAAUGGAUCAUAGAUUUGCGACUUUAAAUGCGGAAAAGAGUUUUGAAUAUAUUCCAUUGCAUAUAGUGCACAGUGGCAUGAAAUGAAAAAGGUGUUAAGAAUAUGUUAGGCGGAAGAAGUAAUUACAGAACAUUGUAAACCUUGUUGUAAACAUUCAAUUUUAUAUUUCAGUGUGAUUUCGAAAUUAUAGUGUAAAAGACAAGAACCAGCGUUGUGGAAACAAAAUGACUAAAUAAAAGUUAUGUUAUAGAAAAUACAA